This is a long non-coding RNA of Suricata suricatta (meerkat), 303 nucleotides long. RefSeq lists it as uncharacterized. The record is from RefSeq and is a predicted model, not a curated record. NCBI's taxonomy places the organism in Eukaryota, Metazoa, Chordata, Mammalia, Carnivora, Herpestidae. The transcript has 3 exons.
CUCUUGGUUACAUGGACCAGCCCUGUCCAUGGAGACGGGACUACCCAGGGUGAACUCCAGGAGGAUGGCUACAAGACCAUCAAAUACUUACACAGGUGCCAAACAAGUAGAAACUUCACACCAACAGGUGGGAGAGUCAACUGGUAUACCGCUUUGGGAAAGAGUUUAUUUCAGCAGGAUGGACUGAAGUCAUUGAUGCUGUAGGACCCAGUGAUUCCACACCUGGAUGUACAUCCACUACAAGAAGAGACCAUCAGGAUGGCAUGAACACCUUGACAAGUCCAUCUUCAAGUCAGAAGAGGG